This 729-nucleotide ribosomal RNA is filed under the name Vibrio parahaemolyticus. Its description in RNAcentral is "partial 23S ribosomal RNA". It matches the Rfam family "Bacterial large subunit ribosomal RNA", at positions 67 to 849 of the family's 2925-position model. The record is from RNAcentral. Lineage: Bacteria; Pseudomonadati; Pseudomonadota; Gammaproteobacteria; Vibrionales; Vibrionaceae.
UGCGAUAAGCCCAGAUUAGGUAGUAACAACCAUUUGAGUCUGGGAUUUCUGAAUGGGGAAACCCACGUGCAUAAGCACGUAUCCUUACCUGAAUACAUAGGGUAAGGAGGCGAACCGGGGGAACUGAAACAUCUAAGUACCCCGAGGAAAAGAAAUCAACCGAGAUUCCGAAAGUAGCGGCGAGCGAAAUUGGACUAGCCCUUAAGCUUUACACGCGUUAGACGAACGGUCUGGAAAGUCCGACGAUACAGGGUGAUAGUCCCGUAGUUGACGACGUGUGUUCAGUGAAAUCGAGUAGGGCGGGACACGUGAUAUCCUGUCUGAAUAUGGGGGGACCAUCCUCCAAGGCUAAAUACUACUGACUGACCGAUAGUGAACCAGUACCGUGAGGGAAAGGCGAAAAGAACCCCUGUGAGGGGAGUGAAAUAGAACCUGAAACCGUGUACGUACAAGCAGUAGGAGCAGGCUUUGUCCUGUGACUGCGUACCUUUUGUAUAAUGGGUCAGCGACUUAUAUUCAGUGGCAAGGUUAACCAUCUAGGGGAGCCGUAGGGAAACCGAGUCUUAACUGGGCGUUCAGUCUCUGGAUAUAGACCCGAAACCAGGUGAUCUAGCCAUGGGCAGGUUGAAGGUUGAGUAACAUCAACUGGAGGACCGAACCGACUAAUGUUGAAAAAUUAGCGGAUGACUUGUGGCUAGGGGUGAAAGGCCAAUCAAACCUGGAGAUAGC